Molecule: small nuclear RNA, 107 nt
Filed under: Propithecus coquereli (Coquerel's sifaka)
Lineage: Eukaryota; Metazoa; Chordata; Mammalia; Primates; Indriidae
Source: RNAcentral
GUGCUCACUUUGGCAGCACAUAUACUAAAAUUGGAACAAUAUAGAGAAGAUUAGCAUGGCCCCUGUGCAAGGAUGACAUGCAAAUUCGUGAUGCAUUCCAUAUUUUU